RNAcentral lists this RNase P RNA (398 nucleotides) under Deltaproteobacteria bacterium. RNAcentral's name for it is "RNase P RNA component class A". It matches the Rfam family "Bacterial RNase P class A". Rfam says of the family: Ribonuclease P (RNase P) is a ubiquitous endoribonuclease, found in archaea, bacteria and eukarya as well as chloroplasts and mitochondria. Its best characterised activity is the generation of mature 5'-ends of tRNAs by cleaving the 5'-leader elements of precursor-tRNAs. Lineage: Bacteria; Pseudomonadati; Myxococcota; Myxococcia. RNAcentral also lists the same sequence under 1 other name. The record is from RNAcentral.
GGAGCGGGACAAACGAUCGCCGGGGCGGCAGCGCCCCGGAGGAAAGUCCGAACACCACAGGGCAGGGUGCUCCAUAACGUGGAGGCGUGGCGACGCGACGGAAAGUGCAACAGAGAGCAGACCGCCGAUGGACACUGCGCCGCUGCGGCGGCCUGGCGUCACAGGCAAGGGUGAAACGGUGCGGUAAGAGCGCACCAGUUCCCCGGGUGACCGGGGAAGCUCGGUAAACCCCACCCGGUGCAAGACCAAAUAGGGGAGCAUAUCCAGGUGGCCCGCCUGGGCUCCCGGGUAGGUCGCAAGAGGCGGCGGGCAACCGUCGUCCAUAGAUGAAUGAUCGUUGCCCCGCCGGCGGGUAACCGCCCCGGGGAACAGGAUUCGGCUUACGGACCGCUCCGGCC